UACGGGGGGGGCAAGCGUUGUUCGGAAUUACUGGGCGUAAAGGGCGCGUAGGCGGUUCGCUAAGUUGGAUGUGAAAACUCUGGGCUUAACCCAGAGCCUGCAUCCAAAACUGGUGAACUGGAGUACUGGAGGGGAAAGCGGAAUUCCUGGUGUAGCGGUGAAAUGCGUAGAUAUCAGGAGGAACACCGGUGGCGAAGGCGGCUUUCUGGACAGUAACUGACGCUGAGGCGCGAAAGCUAGGGGAGCAAACAGG
RNAcentral lists this ribosomal RNA (253 nucleotides) under uncultured bacterium. Its description in RNAcentral is "partial 16S ribosomal RNA". It matches the Rfam family "Bacterial small subunit ribosomal RNA", at positions 524 to 776 of the family's 1533-position model. The record is from RNAcentral.